This 115-nucleotide transfer RNA is filed under the name Candidatus Bathyarchaeota archaeon. RNAcentral's name for it is "tRNA-Arg". It matches the Rfam family "tRNA". Rfam says of the family: Transfer RNA (tRNA) molecules are approximately 80 nucleotides in length. Their secondary structure includes four short double-helical elements and three loops (D, anti-codon, and T loops). Lineage: Archaea; Thermoproteati; Candidatus Bathyarchaeota. The record is from RNAcentral.
GGGCCCGUGGUCUAGAGUGGGAGCCACAGUCCGAGUGACUUUCACGGGAAUCUAGGAUUAAGACGCUGGCCUGCGGAGCCGGAGACCCGGGGUUCAAAUCCCCGCGGGCCCGCCA